ACAGAUGCAGCCUUGCUGGAAUCAGCAAGAACAACCACCCCCAGGACUUCAGCCUCAACAUGAGCUAACAGGCAUUAAAAGCCCUCAGGUUUGAUUGUCUUCACUUAACUGGCAUUAUUAUGGAGUUGUAGACCUGGUGUGGGGAGUAUGGGGAUCAACCUCAGAAGCCUCCAGAGAGAGAUUGGUGGACUCUAGGAGUGUCGAUCUCAGACUGACCAUCGCUGGGGCCACAUCCAAGCAGCAGCCCUUUGUCCAGAGCCAUUUCCUCCACUGGCCUCAGUUUCUGUAGGGCCCAGAUGGUGCUGAAGUCAGAUGCCAAGGGGAAAGUGACUUUACCCACGAGAGAGAUUUUUAAAUAUUCCCCCAACUGCUCCGAUGGGACCGUCUAGUUACAGGAAAACAAGCUCAAGGCUCCCACUGAUUCUACAUUACGUCCAUGGAAAAACUGUCUUCCCUGGUGCCAAAAAGGUUGACGGCUGUUCUGCAGCAAGGUCUUUAAACAAUGCCUGUGACAUAGACAAUCCCUCAGAAAGAUGCUUAUCUAACGUUCCCAGUGGUCAUGACUUUUGGCAAGAAAGUUGGAGAUGUGACCAGCUGCACAUGACUUUACCUAAAAGCUUGCUAUGUAAAGGACACUUUCUGGAGAGUGGGUGUAGGAAUUCACUGUCUCACUGCUGCCCAAGACAGCACUACUGUUUGUAAGCCCCUAUUAAAUAUUUCUUUCUGAGAAAGUGGAUUUGUCAGCCUCUGUUUUUGGCCUUCAGCUCCCUUGGCCUUUGUGGGUAGGUUUGUAUAUACCUGCUCACUGCAGAAAAAUAUUCUACUCCAGUUUGUGAUAUAUUUGGGUUUACAGAUAGUCUGGUUACUGGAGUUUGAACCCAGUUCUGACUCCAAUGCUCAUGAUCUUUCACUCUACCACAUAGUCUUCCAGAAACAAAUCAUAUGUGGUCUCUGCCCUUGAUAGAUUCUCCAUCUAGCAUGAGAGAUGGGUAUAUAAACAAAUGAUUGCUGCAGAAAAUUUAAUAGAAAACUAAGGAAGGUGAUGCUAACUCUACCUGGGCAUGUCAGGGAAAGUAUCACAUAGGAGGGAGUAUUCGUAGUGAGUGUUUCCACCAGGAAAGACAAGCAGAGGGACUUUCCUAUGUACAGUAACAUGCUUCACUCAUAGUUUUAAAAAUUAACGUUCUCACCCUUUUUUCCCAGCCAUCGUUGGUGUCACCAAUCUCCCAUGCUCUCCUAAAAAAUUUUCCUUUUCCCGUUUUUGCACUUCUCCUAUAUAAUUAAUUUACAUGUCUUCUGUUUUCUCUAUACUUACAGCUCCUUGACCAAAAGACCAUGAUUUAUUUAUCUUUGUGCACCUAGCACAGUGCCUUACAAAGACUAGGCAUUAAUAAACACUCAUUGGGCACCUGAAGAUAGGUACAGAUUUCUAGGUAAAGAAACUAGGAUGUGCACAGGCCUUGUGGGCGAUGGAGCAUAGCAUGUUCAAAGGCCUGAAAGACAAGAUCAGAAUGACUAGCUAUUAGGCAGUAGUGGUGGUGGUGGUAAUAGAGGCAGAGUGUUCAGGAAGGUGAUGUUGUAGGGUAGAGUAAUCUGAGAUAAAACUGGGACUGGUUGGAGUUAGACCAUUAGGAUCUUAGAGAACAUGUUAAAGAUUUUGGUCUUCAUCCUAAGAGCAGUAGGAGGCCACGGAACAAAGGGUCAAUGGGUAACACACUGAAAAGUUCACCUGAGCUCCAUUGAGGGGUAAGGGCUGGGGACAAAUACAACAAGGGAAAAUAUAGAAGGCUACUACAGUCAUCCAAAUAUUGGAUGUGGCUUUUAGUGAAGUUUGGAAGAAGUGCCCCUUUUUUAGGAAUACCAUACAGAAAAGUCACAUAUUUGAACAUAACUACUUGCCUAAUCCUUUUAGGAUUUUCUUUUC
RNAcentral lists this long non-coding RNA (1924 nucleotides) under Homo sapiens (human). Its description in RNAcentral is "HSALNT0337363". Lineage: Eukaryota; Metazoa; Chordata; Mammalia; Primates; Hominidae. The record is from RNAcentral.